Molecule: ribosomal RNA, 885 nt
Filed under: Melanops sp. O2b_PD002
Lineage: Eukaryota; Fungi; Ascomycota; Dothideomycetes; Botryosphaeriales; Melanopsaceae
Description: eukaryotic LSU rRNA
Rfam family: Eukaryotic large subunit ribosomal RNA
Source: RNAcentral
UACCCGCUGAAACUUAAGCAUAUCAAUAAGCGGAGGAAAAGAAACCAACAGGGAUUGCCUCAGUAACGGCGAGUGAAGCGGCAACAGCUCAAAUUUGAAAUCUGGCCCCCCGGCCCGAGUUGUAAUUUGCAGAGGAUGCUUCGGGCGCGGUGCCUUCCAAGUCCCCUGGAACGGGGCGCCGGAGAGGGUGAGAGCCCCGUACGGUUGGCGGCCAAGCCUGUGUGAAGCUCCUUCGACGAGUCGAGUAGUUUGGGAAUGCUGCUCUAAGCGGGAGGUAGACCCCUUCUAAAGCUAAAUAUAGGCCAGAGACCGAUAGCGCACAAGUAGAGUGAUCGAAAGAUGAAAAGCACUUUGAAAAGAGGGUUAAACAGCACGUGAAAUUGUUGAAAGGGAAGCGCUUGCGACCAGACGUGCGCCGGGGUGCUCAGCGGGCGUUCUCGCCCGUGCACUCGCCCCGGUGCAGGCCAGCGUCGGUUCGCGUGGGAGGAUAAAGGCGCCUGGAAUGUGGCUCCCCCGGGAGUGUUAUAGCCAGGCGUGCCAUGCUCCCCUGCGGACCGAGGUACGCGUUCUGCAAGGACGCUGGCGUAAUGGUCCCCAGCGACCCGUCUUGAAACACGGACCAAGGAGUCGAGGUUUUGCGCGAGUGUUUGGGUGUUAAACCCGCACGCGUAAUGAAAGUGAACGUAGGUGGGAGCUUCGGCGCACCACCGACCGAUCCUGAUGUUCUCGGAUGGAUUUGAGUAAGAGCGUAGGGCCUCGGACCCGAAAGAUGGUGAACUAUGCUUGGAUAGGGUGAAGCCAGAGGAAACUCUGGUGGAGGCUCGCAGCGGUUCUGACGUGCAAAUCGAUCGUCAAAUCUGAGCAUGGGGGCGAAAGACUAAUCGA